AGUUCGGUCUCUAUCUAUCGUGGGCGCAGGAAAUUUGCGUGGCUCUGACACUAGUACGAGAGGACCGUGUUGGACCGACCUCUGGCCUGCCGGCUGUUCCGCCAGGAGCACCGCCGGGUAGCCACGUCGGGAUCGGAUAAGCGCUGAAAGCAUCUAAGUGCGAAGCCGGCCGCAAGAUUAGAUUUCCCUUGAGGGUCGUCAUAGACGAUGACGUUGAUAGGCUGCAGGUGUAUAGACGGCGACGUCACAGCCGAGCAGUACUAAUUGCCCGAGACUUCCGCCUCU
This 285-nucleotide ribosomal RNA is filed under the name Bacteroidaceae bacterium. RNAcentral's name for it is "partial 23S ribosomal RNA". It matches the Rfam family "Bacterial large subunit ribosomal RNA", at positions 2628 to 2925 of the family's 2925-position model. The record is from RNAcentral. Lineage: Bacteria; Pseudomonadati; Bacteroidota; Bacteroidia; Bacteroidales; Bacteroidaceae.